Molecule: long non-coding RNA, 415 nt
Filed under: Carica papaya (papaya)
Lineage: Eukaryota; Viridiplantae; Streptophyta; Magnoliopsida; Brassicales; Caricaceae
Description: long non-coding RNA (CPAP_LNC015898)
Source: RNAcentral
GGGUACUGGAGUUGCUGUUGCUGUAUGUGUUAUUGAAUAGCUGGUCUUUCGGGGUAGGUAAAUAACGGUUAGUUGUAGGGUGGUUCUAAAGCAUGACUUGGGUAGUGUAAGAGAAAUGCAUAUAGAUAUACUAAUUGUCUUGUCACUGCAUAUUAUACCUGCAACUUAGUUUUUAUCGUAUUAAGUUAUGUGAACUCACUUUUUGUCGUUUUCCAGAUGAAGUAGGGAUAGAGCCGAGAUCUGAGUUGCUGGGUACGGAGCCUAGUCUUUAGCGCCAUAGGGCCAGGGUCUCCUUGUGGCGGGUUACUGCCUGUAAAAGUUUAUAUUAGUAUGGAUGUUGACUUGCUGGAAGGGUAUGGUAUGGGGUGUCAUUGAUGUAUAGGUAGAACUACAAGUUUACCUUGAGUUAGAACAA